Molecule: small nucleolar RNA, 87 nt
Organism: Oryza sativa Japonica Group (Japanese rice)
Lineage: Eukaryota; Viridiplantae; Streptophyta; Magnoliopsida; Poales; Poaceae
Rfam family: Small nucleolar RNA SNORD25
About the family: U25 is a member of the C/D class of snoRNA which contain the C (UGAUGA) and D (CUGA) box motifs. U25 is found in gene clusters in plants, and within the U22 snoRNA host gene (UHG) in mammals. U25 is thought to as a 2'-O-ribose methylation guide for ribosomal RNA.
Source: Rfam
UUUGACGGUGAUUAGCCCUAACAGACCUGUAAUGAUUCUUGCGGAUACGAUCGCUUGAUCAAAGAACAUCUAAGGGACUGAGUAAUA